GAAGGAGGGACCGGGAAGGAGGGAGGCGGGCGGUGCCAGCCCCCAGGCAGGAGGAGGAGGCGUCCCCAUGGAGGCUGUACAGCCCCGGGGGGGUGUUUGAGGCUGGGCAGAGCGCAGGGAAGGGUGUUCCAGGUGGCACAAUGAUGAAGAUGCCCACAGCCAUAGGAAAGUCAUAAGGCAAGGCUCCAACUGCUCUGGUGGCUUCUGCAGAGACCAACACAUGGACUUCGGGUCAAGGACUGGGUAAGGGUACCUUUGGGUGCCAGGAACUCCAAGUACUUCAGAGCUGGGCCGUUUAUGAACACCAAGCAGCUCAGCGGGACUUCCCAAAUACCAUGCAGAUCUUUUGUAACUCUUCUGAUAAUUCUGCUAGUUACUCUUUCAGGAACUAAAUAAACGUUCACGAAGGACAACACCAGCAC
RNAcentral lists this long non-coding RNA (422 nucleotides) under Cairina moschata (Muscovy duck). Its description in RNAcentral is "domestica (muscovy Duck (domestic type)) lncRNA (ENSCMMG00000007721.1)". Lineage: Eukaryota; Metazoa; Chordata; Aves; Anseriformes; Anatidae. The record is from RNAcentral.